RNAcentral lists this ribosomal RNA (253 nucleotides) under uncultured bacterium. RNAcentral describes it as "partial 16S ribosomal RNA". It matches the Rfam family "Bacterial small subunit ribosomal RNA", at positions 524 to 776 of the family's 1533-position model. The record is from RNAcentral.
GACAUAGGUCGCAAACGUUGUUCUGAAUUAUUGGGCGUAAAGGGCGCGUAGGCGGCCGGCCAAGUCGGGUGUGAAAUCCCUCGGCUCAACCGAGGAAUUGCAUCCGAUACUGGCUGGCUGGAGUCCGGAAGGGGAUGGUGGAAUUCCCAGUGUAGCGGUGAAAUGCGUAGAUAUUGGGAAGAACACCGGUGGCGAAGGCGACCAUCUGGACCGGAACUGACGCUGAGGCGCGAAAGCCAGGGGAGCGAAUGGG